This 387-nucleotide ribosomal RNA is filed under the name uncultured organism. RNAcentral describes it as "bacterial SSU rRNA". It matches the Rfam family "Bacterial small subunit ribosomal RNA", at positions 45 to 433 of the family's 1533-position model. The record is from RNAcentral.
UGCUUAACACAUGCAAGUCGAGCGGUAACGCGGGGGCAACCCUUGGCGACGAGCGGCGAACGGGUGAGUAAUACAUGGGAAUCUGCCCAGUAGUGGGGAAUAACCCGGCGAAAGCCGGGCUAAUGCCGCAUACGAUCUACGGAUGAAAGCGGGGGACCUUCGGGCCUCGCGCUAUUGGAUGAGCCCAUGUCGGAUUAGCUAGUUGGUGAGGUAACGGCUCACCAAGGCGACGAUCCGUAGCUGGUCUGAGAGGACGGCCAGCCACUCUAGGACUGAGACACGGCCCAGACUCCUACGGGAGGCAGCAGUGGGGAAUAUUGGACAAUGGGCGAAAGCCUGAUCCUUCUACCCCGCGUGUGUGAAGAAGGCCUCCUUGUUGUAAAGGUC